Molecule: non-coding RNA, 24 nt
Filed under: Arabidopsis thaliana (thale cress)
Lineage: Eukaryota; Viridiplantae; Streptophyta; Magnoliopsida; Brassicales; Brassicaceae
Source: RNAcentral
GUCCAUUGCAGGGACCUUACAAGU